This 1907-nucleotide long non-coding RNA is filed under the name Macaca fascicularis (crab-eating macaque). RNAcentral describes it as "lncRNA (ENSMFAG00000060807.1)". Lineage: Eukaryota; Metazoa; Chordata; Mammalia; Primates; Cercopithecidae. The record is from RNAcentral.
UUUUUUUUUUUUUUUUUUUUUUGUAUGUUUGUUUUAGUAGAGAUGGGGAUCUUGCUCUGUUGCCCAGGUUGGCCUCUAACUCCUGGACUCAAGUAAUCCUCCCACCUCAGUAUCUCAAAGUGCUGGGAUUACAGGCAUGAGCCACCAAUCUAGCUUUUAUCUCUUUUUCUGACCUCAGGAAUUACAUUGGACCCACCUGAAAAGCCCAGGUUAAUAGCUUUAUUUCAAGAUCAGCUGGUUAGCAAACUUAAUUUCACCUGCUAGCUUAAUUCCCCUUGGUCAUGCAAUCUAAUGUAUUCAUAGGUCCCAGGAACAGAGCAUGGGUAUCUUUGAAGGGCAAUAUUGCGCCUAUUACAUUAUUUCCCAUAAGCAGAGACAAAUUUAAUUUUCACGUUAUAAAAUGAGGCUGGGUGCAGUGGCUCACACCUGCAAUCCUAGCACUUUGGGAGGCCAAGGCUGGCAGAUCAUCUGAGGUCAGGAGUUCAAGGCCAGCCUGGUCAACAUGGUGAAACCCCAUCUCUACUAAAAAUACAAAAAUGAGAUGGGCAUGGUGGCACAUGCCUGUAAUCCCAGCUACUUGGGAGCCUGAGGCAGGAGAAUUGUUUGAACCUGGGAGGCGGAAGUUUCAGUGAAACAAGAUUGAGUCACCGUAUUCCAGCCUGGGUGACAGAGCAAGACCCUGUCUCAAAUAAAAUAAAAUAAAAAAUAAAAAGUGUUACUACCAAUGACAUGUAUUCAAAGAAUUUAAAAGGGAUAUGUUUCAGAAAGAAAAGCAUGACCUCCUGAAAUAUCUGUGAUAUAAAGCAUGAAGAAAGGUUUUGUGAGUAAAUAAAAAUUUUAGAAAAAAAUGCAAGAUAAUUUAUGUAAAAUGCUCAUGACACUGGUAUCUAUUUGGAGGAAGUUAAAAAUAGACAUAAGUAAAAUAAUAGACCACAGUAGUAAUCUUGUGGUGAAUGAAUACGAUAUUUGAAUUAUUCGUAUAUUCGUAAGGCUGGUGUUAAGAUAACUUUACUAAUCAAAUUACUUCACUCAUGCAUGGUAAAAGGUGAAGUAUAUCUACUAAAAUAAUAAGAUUAAAUAUAUUUCUGAUAGAUGCAGGAGUCAGAUAGGGGAACCCACACAGGGUCUUGCCUGGGCAUGCCCACAAGGGACUGGGGGGUCUGCAUGUGCACUGGCAGAAUAAGGUGGAGCCACCAGGAAUUCACACCUUAGGGAGGGGAAGGAGCUGGGCCUCUUCAGCUCCUGUGUGGUGGCCAGGUAUUCAAUCUGUGAGGUGGGAGCCUAUUGGCUGGAACCCCUCUUAUUUGCUGAGAGCUUUCUUUUCAUAAAUUCCACUCUCCUCACCCUUCAGUGUGUCUGCGUGCCUAAUUUUUCCUAGUUGUGAGACAAGAACCAGGAUUUAACCAAACUAAGGAGCAAAAAAUUUUGCACCAAAUUUUAUACAGUACAGUGAAUAUGAGAAUUAAAGCCGACCACCAAAUAACAUAAGUAAGUAAAGAAAAAGAGCCAAAACUUUGUAGAUAAAUACAAAGAAAGUCAAAAUAUGGUCAAAGCCUAUGUAUCAAUAGUCACAAAACACUCUUUUAAAAGGUAGUAAAUCAUCAUUUUGGGUAUUAAAACAAACCAGAUAUAACAUACGCCUGUAUAUUUAAAAGGUACAUCUGAACUUACAUUACAGAAUUGUCAAAAGUUUUUCUGUGGCCAUGCAGUGGUUUGAAAACUAAUACGAAGGAAACAUAAGCAACUUUUAAUUAUAAAUUUUAUGUAUCAGUAAAUACGAAAAGGACUGUUACGAUUUGAAUUAUGUGCCCCUGAAAUGCAUAUGUUGAAGUCCUAAACCUCAGUACCUCAGGAUGUGAACCUGUAUGGGAAUGAAAUAAAUCUCACAUGUAAUUAAUUCAAUUAUG